GAUGAACGCUGGCGGCGUGCCUAAUACAUGCAAGUCGAGCGAACCACUUCGGUGGUGAGCGGCGAACGGGUGAGUAACACGUAGGUGAUCUGCCCAUCAGACGGGGACAACGAUUGGAAACGAUCGCUAAUACCGGAUAGGACGAAAGUUUAAAGGUGCUUCUGGCACCGCUGAUGGAUGAGCCUGCGGCGCAUUAGCUAGUUGGUAGGGUAAAGGCCUACCAAGGCGACGAUGCGUAGCCGACCUGAGAGGGUGAACGGCCACACUGGGACUGAGACACGGCCCAGACUCCUACGGGAGGCAGCAGUGGGGAAUAUUGCACAAUGGGGGAAACCCUGAUGCAGCAACGCCGCGUGAGUGAAGAAGUAUUUCGGUAUGUAAAGCUCUAUCAGCAGGGAAGAAAAAAGACGGUACCUGACUAAGAAGCACCGGCUAAAUACGUG
This 443-nucleotide ribosomal RNA is filed under the name uncultured bacterium. Its description in RNAcentral is "bacterial SSU rRNA". It matches the Rfam family "Bacterial small subunit ribosomal RNA", at positions 28 to 507 of the family's 1533-position model. The record is from RNAcentral.